AUUGAACGCUGGCGGCAGGCCUAACACAUGCAAGUCGAGCGUGAAAGUCCUUCGGGAUGAGUAAAGACGGCGGACGGGUGAGUAACGCGUAGGAAUCUACCUAGUAGUGGGGGAUAACGUUCCGAAAGGAACGCUAAUACCGCAUACGUUCUAAGGAAGAAAGCAGGGGCUCGUAAGACCUUGCGCUAUUAGAUGAGCCUGCGUCCGAUUAGCUAGUUGGUGGGGUAAAGGCCUACCAAGGCGACGAUCGGUAACUGGUCUGAGAGGAUGAUCAGUCACACUGGAACUGAGACACGGUCCAGACUCCUACGGGAGGCAGCAGUGGGGAAUAUUGGGACAAAUGGGGGCGAACCCUGAUCCAGCCAUGCCGCGUGUGUGAAGAA
Molecule: ribosomal RNA, 383 nt
Filed under: uncultured bacterium
Lineage: Bacteria
Description: bacterial SSU rRNA
Rfam family: Bacterial small subunit ribosomal RNA
Source: RNAcentral